GGAGACGUGGCCGAGUGGUUAUGGCGCUGUAAGUUCUCAUUCCUGAGCCAUAGCGAUUGCUCAUGCCUAACAAUCUCUCAGAGUUUCAGGCAGUGAAAACUGUGCCGAUCUGGGAUUUACUAGUGGGUAAUUCCGCGUGGGUUCGAGUCCCACCGUCUUCA
Molecule: transfer RNA, 161 nt
Filed under: Exutisphaerella laricina CBS 326.52
Lineage: Eukaryota; Fungi; Ascomycota; Dothideomycetes; Mycosphaerellales; Mycosphaerellaceae
Description: tRNA-Und (NNN) (tRNA-Und-NNN-2-1)
Rfam family: tRNA
About the family: Transfer RNA (tRNA) molecules are approximately 80 nucleotides in length. Their secondary structure includes four short double-helical elements and three loops (D, anti-codon, and T loops). Further hydrogen bonds mediate the characteristic L-shaped molecular structure. tRNAs have two regions of fundamental functional importance: the anti-codon, which is responsible for specific mRNA codon recognition, and the 3' end, to which the tRNAs corresponding amino acid is attached (by aminoacyl-tRNA synthetases). tRNAs cope with the degeneracy of the genetic code in two manners: having more than one tRNA (with a specific anti-codon) for a particular amino acid; and 'wobble' base-pairing, i.e. permitting non-standard base-pairing at the 3rd anti-codon position.
Source: RNAcentral